UCCCUGUUACCAGGGCAGUCUAGCUAGAGAAAUUCAACUAACUAAAAGGGUUGCGCUCGUUGAUGGACUUAACCAAACAUCUCACGACACGAGCUGACGACGGCCAUGCAUCACCUGUCACUUGGCUCAAUAAAGCACUCUCUGCUUUCGCGGAAAUUCCAAGGAUGUCAAACCUGGGUAAGGUUCUUCGCUUACCAUCGAAUUAAACAUCACGCUCCACCGCUUGUGCGGGUCCCCGUCAAUUCCUUUGAGUUUUAGCCUUGCGGCCGUACUCCCCAGGCGGGGUACUUAAUGCGUUAGCUACGGCACGGAUCCCAAGGAAGGAAACCCACACCUAGUACCCACCGUUUACGGCGUGGACUAC
RNAcentral lists this unclassified non-coding RNA (364 nucleotides) under uncultured bacterium. RNAcentral describes it as "contains 16S-23S intergenic spacer region". The record is from RNAcentral.